CGUGUGAUAGCUGGGUCAAGUGGUGAAUCCAUUCCAAGUUUUCUGAGGUAUCUCCUUACUGCUUCCUAGAGUGGUUGCACCAAUUUGCAGUCCCACCAGCAAU
RNAcentral lists this microRNA precursor (103 nucleotides) under Marmota monax (woodchuck). The record is from RNAcentral. Lineage: Eukaryota; Metazoa; Chordata; Mammalia; Rodentia; Sciuridae.